This 200-nucleotide ribosomal RNA is filed under the name uncultured bacterium. Its description in RNAcentral is "partial 16S ribosomal RNA". It matches the Rfam family "Bacterial small subunit ribosomal RNA", at positions 30 to 229 of the family's 1533-position model. The record is from RNAcentral.
AUUGAACGCUGGCGGAAUGCUUUACACAUGCAAGUCGAACGGCAGCACGGGGGGCAACCCUGGUGGCGAGUGGCGAACGGGUGAGUAAUACAUCGGAACGUGCCCAGUCGUGGGGGAUAACUACGCGAAAGCGUAGCUAAUACCGCAUACGAUCUACGGGUGAAAGCGGGGGAUCGCAAGACCUCGCGCGAUUGGAGCGG